Bombyx mori (domestic silkworm) is the source of this 1257-nucleotide RNA transcript. RefSeq lists it as uncharacterized. The record is from RefSeq and is a predicted model, not a curated record. The transcript is spliced from 6 exons. NCBI's taxonomy places the organism in Eukaryota, Metazoa, Arthropoda, Insecta, Lepidoptera, Bombycidae.
CCAUGUAUGUGGUAUCAAGAGCAAGCUCUUACUUCAUUAUGUCGUAUUGAGUUUUUGAUACACUGUGCUUACGUCAUAGCCACAAUAAUAGAACGCAUUUCUCAUAUGAAUUUAAUGUUAUUUUCCUCAUGUGAUUGCUAACUAAUCAGAUUGUAUCCCCUAGAUCCGUUAUCUGUUAAUAGAUAAAUAGUAUAAAUAGAGCGUUUUAGUGAACACACUGUACUCAUUUGCUGAGGUAGGAUCACAAUACGUUGGUUCCUCAAAGCAAAGUUCGAAUUCCAAAAUUGUUUACCACAACAAAUGUUUUAAGAACUUAUCUGAUUUUUUCUUAUUUUCUUUAUUGAUACUUUUCGCAUAUGUAUUAUAUAUUUUUUCUUCAUUUGAUUUUUCUUUAAUCCCAAUAAUUUUGUUGUUUACAAUAUUAUUUUUUUUGUAAUUUUCGGUCACCUCAAAUAAAACAUUGUAUUUUUGUAGUUUCAUCGAAUAUUUGACUCAUGUAAAAUUUUAUCUAACAGAGAACUAAUAUCAAACAAUGAAGGCUAUCGUACUCGCUCUUGCACUCAUUGCCGGCGUCUCUGCUGUGCCCCAAAGGAACUUUGCUGCAGGCUUCGCAAAAGAUCAGAGAAACUUGAUAGAAACAAUCAUUGAGAAUAUCGUGAAGUUAGUCAUCAACGGAAUCCAAGCCAGAGGAUUGGACCCCUUGUAUGUCGAGAGCGCUGAAGGCAGCUACACCCUUUUCGGAUUAGAGGAUGUAUUCUCGGCUACUGGCUCCGUAUCGGAAUUGGCUUUCGAAGGCAGCAGCAACAUAGUCAUUAACGAAAUUACUUACAAUCUGUUCGGCGGUAACAUUAACCUCGACUUCACUCUACCCAAGCUGAGUGGAUCUGCUGGUAUGUUUAAAUAAAAACAUGAUCUAUUUAUUAAUAAUCCCUUGUUAUCGAAAACAUCAAUUUGUACGCCCGCCUUAGAGUAUCCAUCUUCCCUGGCAUCAACAUUCAAGAAGUAACCGGUCGUCUUACCGUUGGUGACGUCCAGUCUAACCUCAACGUCGUUCUCUUCGGCGAAGACGUCAGCGAAAGAGUCAAUGAUUUAUUGAACAACAAGCUGCCUGAAGCUCUUGAUAUUUACAAUAACAAGAUCCUCGCCUUUAUUGAGCGCCUCAUCAUCUACAUCAUCAACAACCUUCUAUAAAUGCUCUGUAGGAAUAAUAUCAUUGAGAUGUAAACAACAAAAUUGAAUAAAGAUAAUUUGAAUGAA